GAAAUAGCACGAAACUUUACAAAUCCACAUAUAUAUGUUAUUAUUCAAAAAAAAUGCCCUAGAUCGGAUUUAUAAAUACGUUUUAUAAUAUUUAUAAUAUACGUUUUAUAUUUAAAAUAUUUAUUUUCGUGUCCAAAAAACCUGCUGUAGGGAUCUUUGUGUCGGGGAAACGGGAGUUGAAACUUGGGGAAAAUAUUUUAUGUAGUUGCAUUAAUGCACGUGAUGUUUACUAAGACAUUAAUAUAUAAACGUAAAAAUCAGACACGUAUGCCCGAUAUAGGCGUGUAAGGGUACGAGCACAGCCAACGUGACUCUCGGCUUCCCAGUCAGGACUUGUCGGUUUGUAAUUGCUGUUGAAUUCGCUGCAGAUUUAUGAUGCACCGCCGUCUCGUAUAAACGUGACACCCUCCGUAUUUUACCACUGAACUGUAAAUAACGCGUAAGUACUCAACUGUGACUCUCUGAAGAACGUUUUACCAUCAACUGUUGACAGGGACUGAAAGUGAAAAUUAAAAUCUCCCGCCCGCCUGGCCACUUUACUGCCAUGGAAAAUACUCACAUAUUUGAUAAGCAUGUAAUAAGAUGCACAAUAUUUAACUAAAAUAAAAUUUCUUAAACAAACGUUCAUGUUUUAAUUAAAAGUAAAAAUUAGUUUCUCAGUUUCAGCAUCGGACUCUGUUUUAAGUAUGUCGGUGAUGGUUCACUGUAAAAAAUAAGAGCCGCAUGCUUUUUUAUACCAGUAAAUGAAUGCAUUCAGGUAUAAGUAUUUUACUGUAAAACACUAGGCAUUAUGGAAAAUUUUGUUGCUUUCAACGUAUUUACAGCAGUACGUGUUACCGGGAAAUCUGGAUUUGACUUUUGACAAAUCGAUCGCCACUUCUCCAAGAACUACUGCUGAAAUUAAAUGAAAAGAUAAGUUUUCUACGCCAUUUUGUAAAUAUAGUGUGCUUCAUUUGAAGUCAAAAUCACGUACAGCCUGUACUUUGUCUCUGUCGUAUAUGUACGAAUAUUGAACAAACUGUGGGUUAUUUGAAGUGUUUAUGUCAGUGACGAGUAUUUAGAAUUAUUUUUAAGUUUCAGAUUGUAUUUUACGUUUUUUGCGUUUGGUGCUGGCUUAGACAUUCACUGUUUCGUUUCAGAAACGUUUUAUCCGAUGCCGGCAGUGUCAUAUAAGGGAAACUUUGUAUUCGAUAAGUAUAAAAUAAGCAUCACAAAAAAUAUAUCUAUUUUAAAUGAAUGGGUGGCACUUUAAAUCAGUGCUGAUUGACAGCAUCGUUUUGGUGGGGGAGGAGACAGGAGGGUCAGGCAGACAUGAUGGACAGGAUGUGUCAGUAGCAACCCCCACCCACCCAAAGAGACCAAGUGACAGGGCAGAUACAUGGAGACAGAUGGGGCACCAGGCAGGACAAGACAAGCAGCAUGGCAAGAGGCACCAAAGAAGCAGGGAUCGGACCAGGGACCAACAGCUAACAGGAGGGACCAACGGACAGAGACAAAACAGAUGAGACUCAGGACAUGAUCAAACAGCAGGAACUAACAUCAGACUUAAACAAGGACCAGGGAACACAAGAGACAAGCAGGCAGAACAAGCCACAUUAAAACAGGGUGGACAAAUAAAGGGACAACAGAGACACGAGUAAAAACAGAACAGGAAGCCACUGGAGACACAGACUAAGAAAAACCGAAGGCAGAACAGGCCUGACCGCACCAGGACGUUGGACUGGGUUGGUGUGGACAUUGGGCUGAGGCAGGGGCUCACAGAGCAGGACUUAGGGAAAGGCCCAAAGGGUCCCACUCCAAGUCCCCUGGCUAGACAUUAUUAGGAACAACCCAGCCUGGCAGGGAAAGAGGAAGCCGUCUAGGUGAUGACUGGAGACAAGGCUGGUACUGACGGGACAUCAUGAGACAGGGCUGGAACGGGCAGGAGAUCAAGAGAAGGGGCUGGAACCAGUGGGACAUAAGAAGAUGCGGCUGGAAUUGGCAGGACGUCAGAAGAUGGGGCGAGGCCAAGACACCUGGUGGCGAGCAGGGUGAGGCCGAGAUAUCUGGAGAAAAGUAGGGCACAGCAAGGACACCUGGAGGUGGGCAGGGCAAAGCUGGGACACCUGGAUCAGGUUCAGGCAGCUAGGUGCAGCAGACAAGAGGAUGGGCUCUAGGGAUACAGUAAGGAGGCAAGGAGGGUGGAGCCGACCCCUGUGGGGUGGACUUUGGAAGAUCAGGCAGAGCGAAGGUGGCCUCACCUGGGCUGGGUGCUGGAGACACGGUGGCAGCCUUUCCUGGGCAGGGCUUUAGCUGAACUGGGUCAAGUGAGACGGACUCUGGUAUGGGUUCAGCCUGCUUCUGUUUUCACUUCCUGCGGCUGGAGACAGCAAGCGAAGCUGCGGCUAGUGGGCAAAUCACUGGUUUGAAAGUCGACUUCAAUGACCGGACAAGCGAAGACGGACCAAACAGAUACUUCAUACAUACAUUAAUAAAGGGCAACAAGCAUGCGGCUAGCCUCAGGGAGCCAGUGGGCAAAUCAGCAGAAAGCUGUGGGGAGCCAGCCGGAUGAAUCGGAGGCAAGCUGCGGGGAGCCAGCAAGUGAAUUGGCAGUGAGCUUCGGGGAGCCAGCGGGCAAUGAGCUGAGUGGCAAUGGAGAGUCAGUGUGCAGAGCAGUUUCACAUUAUGAAGAGGCAGCGGACUGAGCUUCGGCAAGCAAAGCAGCUCCACAUUUAAGAUUAGCGGCAGGCUGACUGGCUUCAGGAGGUGAACAGUCGGUAGGUUGAGCAGUCUUGCUGCCGAUUAUUCCCUACACUUCAGUCAGCAUGUGCCGGACCUUAACUGCCUUUUGGGGAUCUGAGCCUGGGGUGAGUCUUGCAAGCACCCUCUCUGCAGACCAGAAGAGAGCUUCGACAUUGGGGGUCCUCCAGACAGUGUGAUCAGUCCUCAGAUCCAGUAUUGUGUCCUGGAUGGAAACAAAGGCCUCCACUUGAAGACGACGCAGCUCCCAUGGCGCUGGCAACCCCAGAGACCUUUGAAUCCGAGGCAUUCGGGGUGUCUGGUCUGCUGGAUGCAGGGAGGCAUGAAAGCUGGAGCGGAAGUACAUGCUACUUGGGGUUGAUUGACAAUCGACUUCAAUGACCAGUCAAAUGAAGACGGAACAGACAGGUACGUUAUACAUAGACUAAGGGCAACUAGCAUCAGACAUCAAACAGCAUGACAAUUGAAAUACCUUUGAAUAUUAUGAUUUUGCACUAUUAUGUCAUGUUGUAUACUGCAGCGUCAGAUGUGAGAGUUUCAUUGGUUUAUUUUAUCAUUUAAAGUCAUAUUAAAGAGGGUAGGAGCCCCCCAUGCUGACACAAGGUCUAGUCCCACCCUCCAGAUAUGGCUGUCUGUCUACUUCAGCCAGGUGUCAUGUGGUCCAGCUGCUCAGGUCCUCAACCAUGAGUAGAUACCCACUGGGAAUCGCACCACAUGGCCGUAGUGCUGUAACUGGCGCUCCCUCACAAUGCAGGUAAUGUGCCUCAUUCAGGACUCCCUGAGCAACCACUCAUCCAACACAAAGUCAACGAAAGGCAGUACCAAAGGAGUCCAGUCUUUGUCUUAGGUCACUGGAUAGCGCCCAUUUCUCACAGCCAUACAGCAAAACAGGAAGCACUAGGACUCUAAAGACUUGGACCUUCAUCCUCUAACAAAGAUAUUGGGAGCCACACACCCCUAUCACCACACAUAAGCUACUGGGUGUUUGUCUCACUCUAGUUAAGGUUCUUCCGCUUUAUCUAUCAGGUGUUGAUCAUAUGCAGCUAGUCUUACUUUGUAAAGAAAAAGACUAUACAUACUGUGGUCAGCAUUUAGUGUUUGAUGCACUAAUUACAGAUCUCAGAGAGCUAGAGGACAAUGGAAUUGAUUGUGGGGGGCAUGUGUUCAAAGCCAAUGUGUUUACAAUUGCAGGUGACAAUCUUAGCUCACACAGCAUAAGAGGGUUUGCUGAGAAUUUCAGCAAGACCUCACAUUUUUUGCCAGUUUUGUGAAACUGACAGACACAUUUUUGUGUUCAUCACUGUCAAGGACUCCAUUAAGAUCAAGAGAGUCAUGCAUAAUACAUUUACAAGAUAUAGAGCCUGGACAAGCAAUCAAAUUUACAUCUUCCCAUGUUUGUCAGUCUGGUUUACCACUUUGCAAUGGUCAUGACCUGUUCGAAGGAGUAGUGUCCACUCAUCUAGUGUUGUUGAGUCAUCUUGUGAGUGAAGGGUAACAUUUCACUUAUUCAGAUUGGAAUCAAUGGAUGAAUCAAUUUCAGUAUUUUUGAAAUGACAGGAAUGACAAACCUUUAGAGGUAGUUGCAGACAGUGGAAAGCUAGGAGGGAAUUCUGCACUGAACUGGUGCUUUUUGAGGCUAUUGCCCUUGCUUAUUGGUGACAAGAUUGAUUCCUUUGCUGAUAAUGAGGUUUGCCAGUUUAUCUCACAUGACCAUUUUUCAGAAAAGUUAACUUUCCUGGUUUUCCUCUGAAGCCCAAGCACCAUUGUUCCGGUCACCAUGCUAGGCUGAUUGUUCGUUUCGGUCCACUUCUAUGUGUUUGGGCUCUACGGUUUGAGAGCAAGCACUCUUAUGUUAAGCAAUGCUCAAGAAGAUUGCAGAAUUUCAAGAAUUUGUGUGGAACGCUAGCAGAGCGUCACCAAGCUCUUACAAGUGUGCAUGAGCUGUUUUCCACCAUUAAUUGCAAUUUUAAAGGCAACAGAGUUUUCCCAUGAUGAUAAUUGUGAAAAGAUUAUGCAGCCAGUCAGCAGUUUCAAUCUCCAACCAGAGAACGAUGUUGCAGCAAAUGGAGACUCUCAAAGGCACGAAUUACAAAAAGAACAUGUAUAUCAUUAUUGCUAAAGCAGAUGAGAUUAUUUUAUUUGGCAGAAUCAAGCUUAUGCUUAUGCUUGUUCAGAACAAUCUGGAUGUUUACUUCAUCAGCGAAAAGUGCUCACCGUUCUCAAUUCAAAUUAGACCUUCUGUUUGUAAAUUAGGAGGACCUUUUAGAUCACCUAAGAUCCAUUCAGUGCUCCAAGCUUCUUCCUCCCUGGAAAUCACAAGGUGCAGAAAGUAAAAUUGACCACCAUCAAGAGAAUUUACCUUCAUCAGUACCUGGCUCUUCGUAUAGCUGCAGGUCAUCCCCAUGAAGAGGCAGACAUUGGACUGAGACCUUUGAGAUUCACUGGGAGAAGAUGUCUGUGGACUUACAAUCAGCAGUGGGUAAUAAGAAAAGGCAAUCACCUGAAGGUCGCCAACAUCUCAUCCAUAUUGUGAUUGAUGAAAUGAGGAAAUAUGACCUAAAUCCCACCAGAUCCCUCUGCCUAAUUUUUGGGCAGAAGAUUGUGAAGCAAUACCCUAAAUGUUUUGCAGGACGGGGAAACAUAAUUAGUUGCCGGUUAUUCUGCACUUCUAUCUAACUGAAAUAACACAGCGGCACGUUACAGGGAGAAGGAAUAGUUCUGCUGACUCAGAAGGACACACACCAGUGGCCAGAGGACCAAAGGAUAACUAUGACUGUGUCAGGUGGCAGCCUAUUGAUCUUCCACUUGCUGAAAAUGAUGAAAGCCUGGAAGAAAAACGCCAAGAGAGGACGAGCCUGUACCUACAUGAGGGAGUAUGGGGGACAGUGAGGAGAAGUGCUGGCUAAACUUAUGGUGGUCACCUGUUGUCGUUCAGCACAGGGAGAUCAAUGCCACACCUUAAGAAUUUAAGGAAAGGUGGCCAUAUUUGUUUGUUCGAAAUUACCUUUACAGGUAUUAUCAACUUUAACUUUGUAUGUUUGUUCUUUUAAGGGAUUCCAAGACUUCAAUCUUCUUAAUUCUUUGCUUUUUGAUUGGUUGAUUCUAUGCGCUGCUAUUCUGAGGGAGCUAUAUUUCCUUAUCAAAAAGCGUAUUCAUUGGAAUGUUGAGUUGCAUGAAAUGUUAUUUGUUUGGGAAAUAAUAAUGACAUCAUCUUUAAGCAAAUGUAUUUUAUUUGUAAAAUAGCAAUUAUAGACAA
Long non-coding RNA from Brienomyrus brachyistius, 5995 nucleotides. RefSeq lists it as uncharacterized. NCBI's taxonomy places the organism in Eukaryota, Metazoa, Chordata, Actinopteri, Osteoglossiformes, Mormyridae. The transcript is spliced from 2 exons. The record is from RefSeq and is a predicted model, not a curated record.